Molecule: transfer RNA, 70 nt
Filed under: Caudoviricetes sp.
Lineage: Duplodnaviria; Heunggongvirae; Uroviricota; Caudoviricetes
Description: tRNA-OTHER
Rfam family: tRNA
About the family: Transfer RNA (tRNA) molecules are approximately 80 nucleotides in length. Their secondary structure includes four short double-helical elements and three loops (D, anti-codon, and T loops).
Source: RNAcentral
UGGAAUGUAGCUUAGCGAGAAAGCACACAAUUCUGAUUGUGGGACGUGGGUUCAAACCCCACCAUUCCAA